GGUUGAUCCUGCCGGACCCGACUGCUAUCGGAUUGAGAUUUAGCCAUGCGAGUCGAACGCUUCCCUGUUGCGGGAGGCGUGGCGUACGGCUCAGUAACACGUAGUCAACCUGCCCUGGAGACAUGGACAACCCCGGGAAACUGGGAUUAAUCCAUGAUAGGUCAUCUCAUCUGGAAGGAGAGAUGGCUUAAAGGGGUGCGAGAGCUUCUUUCUUGUAUCUGCUCCAGGAUGGGACUGCGGCCGAUCAGGCUGUUGGUGGGGUAAUGGCCCACCAAACCUGUAACCGUACGGGCCUUGAGAGGGGGGGCCCGGGAGAUGGACACUGAGAGAAGGGUCCAGGUCCUACGGGGCGCAGCAGGCGCGAAACCUCCGCAAUGCGCGAAAGCGUGACGAGGUUAAUCCGAGUGGUCCCCGCUGAGGGGAUCUUUUGUCGGCUGUAAAAAGGCCGGUGAAUAAGGGGAGGGCAAGUCUGGUGUCAGCCGCCGCGGUAAUACCAGCUCCUCGAGUGGUCGAGGCGAUUAUUGGGCCUAAAGCAUCCGUAGCCUGUUCUGUAGGUCCUCUGUUAAAUCCAACGGCUUAACCGUUGGCCCGCAGAGGAUACCGCAGGACUAGGAGGCGGGAGAGGUGGACGGUACUCCACGUGUAGGGGUAAAAUCCUUUAAUCCGUGGAAGACCACCAGUGGCGAAGGCGGUCCACCAGAACGCGCUCGACGGUGAGGGAUGAAAGCUGGGGGAGCGAACCGGAUUAGAUACCCGGGUAGUCCCAGCCGUAAACGAUGCAAGCUAGAUGAUCCGGUCGCAAAUCGCGAUCGGAGUGUCGCAGGGAAGCCGUUAAGCUUGCCGCCUGGGGAGUACGGUCGCAAGACUGAAACUUAAAGGAAUUGGCGGGGGAGCACCACAAGGGGUGAAGCCUGCGGUUCAAUUGGAGUCAACGCCAGGAAACUUACCAGGAGAGACAGCAGGUUGAGGGUCAAGCUGAAGACUUUACCUGACGAGCUGAGAGGAGGUGCAUGGCCGUCGCCAGCUCGUGCCGUGAGGCGUCCUGUUAAGUCAGGCAACGAGCGAGACCCAAAGGGCGAAUU
Molecule: ribosomal RNA, 1082 nt
Filed under: uncultured Nitrososphaerota archaeon
Lineage: Archaea; Thermoproteati; Nitrososphaerota
Description: bacterial SSU rRNA
Rfam family: Archaeal small subunit ribosomal RNA
Source: RNAcentral